UUUUUCAGCAGAUGGAAGAAACUAUUAAGCAACAUCAUGUGCCUAAAGGUGGUUGGUUGAUGAAUAAAAAGAUGUUUAUUUUUCCCAAUUUCUUUCUUUUUCAAUUUUUUUUUCUUUAAACAAUUUAUAUGGGAUACUCUAGUAGAGAUGGUCUAAUAUAAAACUAAGUAAGUUGGAAUAUAACCCAAAACAUAUAUAAUAUCAGUAUAUAACUAUUGAAACUAGUCUUAGAUGUCUAAAUCCGAAAACCCAAAAAAUC
This 259-nucleotide long non-coding RNA is filed under the name Capsella rubella. RNAcentral describes it as "long non-coding RNA (CRUB_LNC002269)". The record is from RNAcentral. Lineage: Eukaryota; Viridiplantae; Streptophyta; Magnoliopsida; Brassicales; Brassicaceae.